RNAcentral lists this long non-coding RNA (531 nucleotides) under Camelus dromedarius (Arabian camel). Its description in RNAcentral is "lncRNA (ENSCDRG00005006570.1)". Lineage: Eukaryota; Metazoa; Chordata; Mammalia; Artiodactyla; Camelidae. The record is from RNAcentral.
CAUACUGCUCCCUCCUGCACAAGGCUUCUGAGAAUAAAUGAGAUGUCCGCGCAAGUGCAUUUGCACGGAGAAAGCGCUCAGUAAAUCUUUUUCCCCCUUCGCCCUAUACAAAGGUAAGGAACUCUUAUUGUUCACUUGAUUUCUGUCCCACCUCGUGUUUAAGGCAUCCGGUCUCAAAGCGCGGAGGACAGCAGAGGUGGAAGGGGAGAGGAAGAAAGAAAGCAAGGGGGAAGCAGCAAACUCACGGAGCCUCUGAGGCGGCGAGGCGGCAUCCACAGCUGUCCACGCCAGAGCAUCCGCUGUCCACCAGCGGAGCACAGGCCAUCAAAGCCGAAUUUGAACUUGAAUUCUGUACGGCUGAUUGCGGAGCUGGACCGGGAUCUGCAACCCGCGUGGACAGGUCGACUUAGCCCCGGAGCAAGCUCUCUCACCGAAGCACCUGUUGCGGAGGCUGAACGGGAAAUAAAGGCGCGCACUUAUUUCCAAACUCAUACAAGAAUCUGAGAAAUAACGGCGGAAGCUUUGAGAAGG